CUAAAACAUUAUGCGAGUGUGUGUCAGUACAUAAUAUAGGAGAGCGGCGAGCUUAUCUAGAGCAUAGCUAGAGGUGCUCACGAAAUCUCUUUGUACUAGUUUGGGUAAAAAUACAUCUAUCCUACACCUGCACGCUACACACAGUCGAUAGAUUUGAAUGAAUAUAGAGUACCUACGAUUUGAUUUUGAAUUAUAAGAUUGAGGUCAUCUACAUCUUUAUUUUUAGCGGCCAAAAUUGCUCGCUCACUUAACCAUUUAGUAUUUUUGUGGUUAGCAAUGAUAUCCGGGAAUACGUUGUUGAUAAGCUCGUCUUUUGAUGAUACGAAAUUCCAAAAAUUUGGAGGAUUUGUCAACAGGUACACGGCCAUUACCGAUCAGCAAUUGCUUCGAUAAAUCAUCAGCAGAUAGAUCGUUCAACAAUGCAACUCUCAUAUUUACAGACAGUUGAAGUUUCUUUACAUAUCGCCACAGAUUUGAUGCUUGGAGGCAAGCGUUUAUUUCGUCUGCAGCAGUAGAUCUUGGAAUGACUGGUAGUGUUUGUCGGAAAUCGCCAGAUAAUAAAAUCAUUGCACCACCAAAAUAUCUCGAGUCAUUGCCCAGAUCUUUUAAUGUUCGGUCUACUGCUUCCAAUGCGCGUUUGUGCGCCAUUGUGUAUUCGUCCCAUAUGAUGAUUUUUGAUGCUACUAAAACUUUGGCCAUUGCGGAGUUUUUCGAAAUGAUACAUGUCGGUUGUUCAGUAGUUUGAAGGUUUAAUGGCAAUUAUAACGCUGAGUGAGCCGAACGGUAUCCGUCUAACAAUGUGGCCGCUAUUCCAGAAGAAGCAAUUGCUACCGCAAUUUCGGAUCUCGCACGUACAGUGGCCAAAAUCAAUGACAUGAGGAAUGUCUUCCCAGUUCCACCGGGGGCAUCCAAAAAUAAAAUAAGCCGCCAUUUCCAUCAUCAAUUGCAUUAAUCAGUGUAUCAUAGACUUUCCUCUGCUUAGGAUUCAACAGAGGUACAUUCGUUUGAAGUGAUUGGAAUAGUUCAUGUUCCAAUUCGCUAUUAAUUCUCAUUCAUUCCGCGAUCUGGCGCUGGCAUUCCUAACCUAACUAACAAACUGCCGCACAUGAGGUAACACAUAUCUUCGAUCAAGAGCAAAGUCUGGUUAUGGAUCUCCUCAUUCACCUCAAGAUCGGAAUUUCUUGAGCUGACGCGAAUUCGAUGUAAAAUAUCUUCGAACAUGUUAUCUUUGUAUUUGUUCCCCAGGUCAAGUGGGUUCGAUGGGAAGCAUGUUAAAAUGAUGAUAGCAAAUAAUGUGCGUAUCUGGAAUGGAGAUGCAGGAAUAAUUGCUUCAGCGAUUGUCGUGUCCCACUGAGUAUCGUUUUCAAGCAAAUUUAGCUCUUGACAUUCUGCACGAAAUGUGGGGCACACGUUACCAUUAACAGUUCGCGGUGAUUCAAAUGAUGUUGGCCCUCGAACAUGUACCAGCAACAACCGCAAAUAGAAAGAUUCAUCAUUCUUUGGAUGAACUAUGUAAAUACGACCAAGAGCAUCAGUAGAACGCAUAUCUGUCGAUGGUGCAAUCAUACAGAAACACUGCUCGAUUCAAACCAUUUCUUCAUGCACUUCGAAGAUUAUUUAUCUGUUCUUCUGUACGAUAAGCUCGACGAUUUCUCUCUCUUUGCUCUUGUGUUUGAGAAGCACGAAUUAAGGCCCUUCUUUGCUCUUUUCUUCUUUCAGAUAAUUGACUCGCGAUAUUCCGUUGCCUAAUUGCAUUACGGCUUCGCUGGGAAAGAUUGGAUCUUCUAGGACGCGGCAUUGUUAUUCAAAUUAUUAAUAAAAAAUUAAACAAAUAAAUGAAACAAAUAUUAAAUAUGAUUAAACAAA
This 1866-nucleotide long non-coding RNA is filed under the name Drosophila guanche. The record is from RNAcentral. Lineage: Eukaryota; Metazoa; Arthropoda; Insecta; Diptera; Drosophilidae.